UGGCCAAGGAACUCGGCAAAAUAACCCCGUAACUUCGGAAGAAGGGGUGCUCUCUAGGGUGACAUGUUUAACAUAUGAAGCCCCGGGGAGCCGCAGUGAAUUGGUGGUGGCGACUGUUUACUAAAAACAUAGGUCUGUGCGAAGUCCUAAAGACGACGUAUACGGACUGACGCCUGCCCGGUGCUGGAAGGUUAAAAGGAGGGGUCAGCGCAAGCAAAGCUCCGAAUUGAAGCCCCAGUAAACGGCGGCCGUAACUAUAACGGUCCUAAGGUAGCGAAAUUCCUUGUCGGGUAAGUUCCGACCUGCACGAAUGGCGUAACGAUCUCCACACUGUCUCGGCCAGAGACUCGGUGAAAUUGCAGUCGCGGUGAAAAUUCCGUGUACCCGCAGAAAGACGGAAAGACCCUGUGCACCUUUACUAUAGCUUGACAUUGGAUUUUGGGCCUGCAUGUGUAGGAUAGGUGGGAGGCUGUGAACCCUGUACGCCAGUAUGGGGGGAGCCAUCCUUGAAAUACCACCCUUGCAUGUUUAAGAUCUAACUUCUUCCGGUUAUCCCGGAGAAAGACAGUGUCUGGCGGGUAGUUUGACUGGGGCGGUCGCCUCCUAAAGUGUAACGGAGGCAUGCAAAGGUUCCCUCAGCCUGAUCGGAAACCAGGCGCUGAGUGCAAACGCAUAAGGGAGCUUGACUGUAAGAGAGACAUCUCGAACAGGAACGAAAGUUGGCGUUAGUGAUCCGGUGGUCCCGUAUGGAAGGGCCAUCGCUCAUUGGAUAAAAGGUACGCCGGGGAUAACAGGCUGAUCGCAUCCAAGAGUUCACAUCGACGAUGCGGUUUGGCACCUCGAUGUCGGCUCAUCACAUCCUGGGGCUGAAGCAGGUCCCAAGGGUACGGCUGUUCGCCGUUUAAAGUGGUACGCGAGCUGGGUUUAAAACGUCGUGAGACAGUUUGGUCCCUAUCUUCUGUGGGCGAAGGAGAAUUGAGAGGGCCUGUCCCUAGUACGAGAGGACCGGGAUGGACGCACCCCUGGUGAUCCUGUUGUCGCGCCAGCGGCAUAGCAGGGUAGCUAUGUGCGGAAGGGAUAACCGCUGAAAGCAUCUAAGCGGGAAGCCUGCCUCAAGAUAAGUUCUCCCCUCGAAAGAGCUGAAGGGCCCGGGUAGACUACCCGGUCGAUAGGCUGGAGGUGUAAGCGCGGCGACGUGCUCAGCUGACCAGUACUAAUAGCCCGAGCGGCUUAUUUUU
This 1238-nucleotide ribosomal RNA is filed under the name human gut metagenome. RNAcentral describes it as "bacterial LSU rRNA". It matches the Rfam family "Bacterial large subunit ribosomal RNA", at positions 1702 to 2925 of the family's 2925-position model. The record is from RNAcentral.